RNAcentral lists this transfer RNA (87 nucleotides) under Rhodospirillales bacterium. RNAcentral describes it as "tRNA-Leu". It matches the Rfam family "tRNA". Rfam says of the family: Transfer RNA (tRNA) molecules are approximately 80 nucleotides in length. Their secondary structure includes four short double-helical elements and three loops (D, anti-codon, and T loops). Lineage: Bacteria; Pseudomonadati; Pseudomonadota; Alphaproteobacteria; Rhodospirillales. The record is from RNAcentral.
GCCCGCUUGGCGGAAUUGGUAGACGCAACGGACUUAAAAUCCGUUUCGCUUCGGCGAGUGCCGGUUCGAGUCCGGCAGCGGGCACCA